UGGGGAAUAUUGCACAAUGGGCGCAAGCCUGAUGCAGCGACGCCGCGUGAGGGAUGACGGCCUUCGGGUUGUAAACCUCUUUCAGUGCCGACGAAGCGGAAGUGACGGUAGGCACAGAAGAAGGACCGGCCAACUACGUGCCAGCAGCCGCGGUAAUACGUAGGGUCCGAGCGUUGUCCGGAAUUACUGGGCGUAAAGAGCUCGUAGGUGGUUUGUCGCGUUGUCCGUGAAAACUCACAGCUUAACUGUGGGCGUGCGGGCGAUACGGGCAGACUAGAGUACUGCAGGGGAGACUGGAAUUCCUGGUGUAGCGGUGGAAUGCGCAGAUAUCAGGAGGAACACCGGUGGCGAAGGCGGGUCUCUGGGCAGUAACUGACGCUGAGGAGCGAAAGCGUGGGGAGCGAACAGGAUUAGAUACCCUGGUAGUCCACGCCGUAAACGGUGGGUACUAGGUGUGGGUUCUUUCCUGAGGAUCCGUGCCGUAGCUAACGCAUUAAGUACCCCGCCUGGGGAGUACGGCCGCAAGGCUAAAACUCAAAGGAAUUGACGGAGUGAGUGU
Molecule: ribosomal RNA, 559 nt
Filed under: uncultured Mycobacterium sp.
Lineage: Bacteria; Bacillati; Actinomycetota; Actinomycetes; Mycobacteriales; Mycobacteriaceae
Description: bacterial SSU rRNA
Rfam family: Bacterial small subunit ribosomal RNA
Source: RNAcentral